This is a non-coding RNA of Monodelphis domestica (gray short-tailed opossum), 3380 nucleotides long. The record is from RefSeq and is a predicted model, not a curated record. NCBI's taxonomy places the organism in Eukaryota, Metazoa, Chordata, Mammalia, Didelphimorphia, Didelphidae.
AUAAAUAAUUUUAAAAAGGAGUUGUUUAAGUAAUAGCCCACUUCAUAUGCAUGAACGAAUUGUUGGCUAUCUCAGCCUUGCUCUUUUAGUAGUAACUUUGAUCUUGUUCUUUCUAGCUGUUUGUUGUGGCCUGCCUUCUGCCAUUGGGAAUAGUCAUUAGCUGAGCUGUCAAUUGGAACAAGAUGGGGAAACAAUAUAAAGAUAACUUACAUGCUCUUUUUGACUAUAGAUUGAACUCUAUACACUGCCCUUCCUAAAUCUUCUAAAAGAAGACUCUGGGGCUAUGUGAUAGAGGCUGAAACUAGAGAAAAAAUGCCAGACUGAAGAGUAUAUGAAAUUGAUCACCUCAACGGGGGAGGGGCCUCAAGAGUGAAUUUCCUGAGGAGAGAAGACUCUGGCUGGAGAACAAUUAGGUUCUCUCCAUCUUGAGAUGUUGAAGAGAGAAGGUGGAUAAAGACUUUCUCUUGAGGGUUACUUAUUUUUUCCUGCUGGUUACUGGAAAUCUUUCCCCCCAACAUUUCCCAACUGAAGGGACUUUUUGAAGAGAAACCUGAGCAGACUUUACCUCAACUCCUAUUGCCCAGGGGGAGUGAAAAAGAAUGAAGGAAAUAUCUUACAUGGAAAUCAACAAAAGUGAGCACUACAGAAUUUCUAUGGUAUCCAUGUUUGACACUCCAUUUCCUGAUAUGAGUACACCAUCAGAUUGUGCAUUGUCAUUUCUUCAUCCACUUAUCCAUCCAUCUAUUCAUUCAUUCAUUCACUCAUUGUCAGAUGCUCUCUCAGCAUGGACAUAGUGGAAAUAGCCUCUGAACCUGCACUUAAGUCAGUGCUGGAACUAUCUUAUGCCUCACUAUUUGUGUGGCCUUGGGCAAAACACUUCACUUCUCUAACACUCAGAGCCUUCAACUCCUGCAUAUCCUUGAGGAAUACAUAUUUUUCUCAGCUCUUCAAAAGAGAAAGGGAAAAAGGAAGUGGCAAAUUCCCAAACACAUGCUCAACAUUCAAGACAUUUCUUGUGAAAACUGUUUUAAUUUUUAUUGUCAUGCAAAACCAGUUCCAUAUUGGUCAUUGUUGUAAGAGCAAACUUAUAGCCAAAGCCUCAAAAUAAAACCAUAAAUACACUGAUGUGAAAGACAAAUCAAACAGUUCUAUCUCUGGAGGUGGAUAGUAUUCCCUAUCAUAAGUCUUCCACAGGUUCCCUUUAUACACAGGGUUGUCCCUUUGCUAAAAGGAGCCAAAUUUUCACAAAUAAUUAUGAUAAAAUAUGGCUGUUACUGUGUAUAAUGUUUUCCUAGUACUGCUUAUUUUGCUCUACAUCAAUUCCUGAAAAUCUUUCCAGUAUUUUUUCUGAAAUCAUCUGGCUUAUCAUUUUUUAUAGCACAAUGGUAUCACAUUACCAACAUGUACUAUGCUUUGUUCAGUCAUUCUCCUAUUGAUGGACAUCCCCUCAACUUCCAGUUCUUUUACAACAUAAAAAGAGUAGCUAUGGAUAUUUUUGUACAAGUAGGUCCUUUCCCCUUUUUUAUUAUCUCUUUGGGAUAUAGAGCCAGUAUUGAUAUUACCAGACCAAAGGGUAAGCACAGUUUUAUAUCCAUUUUGGUAGAGUUCCAAAUUUCCCUCCAGAAUGAUUGGAUCAGUUUACAACUCCACCAACAAUGCAUUAGUGCCCCAAUUUUUCCAUUUCCCCUCCAAAAUUUAUCACUUUCCAUUACAGCCAUAUUGACCAAUCUGAUAAGUGGGAUAUGGUGCUUAAGAAUUGUUUUAAUUUCCACAUCUCUAAUCAAUAGUGUUUAGUGGCUUUGAUUUCUUCAUCUGAAAAAUUGCUUGUUCAUAUAUUUUAACCAUUUGUAAAAUGGGGAAUGGCUUGUAUUCUUAUAAAUUUGACUUAGUUCUUUAUAAAUUUGAGAAGUUAGACUGUUAUCAGAGACAUUUGUUAUAGUUAUUCUCCCCUUUUGUUGUUUCCCCUAUAAUUUAAGUUAGAUUAGGUUUUUUUUUUUCUUUUUGGUAUAAAGCUCUUUUUAAUUUAUUAUAAUCAAAUUAUUCAUUACUCUCUUAUUUCUAAUUUCAUCAUGAACUCUACCCUUCUCCAGAGAUAUUCCAAGUGAACUCUUCUGGGUUCCCCUAAUUUGGUUAUGGUGUUAUUCUUUGAAUCUAAAUCAUAGCAUUUGAGAUAUUGAUCUGAACCUAACAUCUGCCAUAGUGUUUUCCAAUUUUCGCAGGAGUUUUUGUUAAAAAGUGAGUUCUUAUUCCAAAAACUUGUGAUAUUUGGGUUUAUCAAACACUGGGUUGCUAAGGUCAUUUACCCUUGUAUAUUGUAUAUCUAAUCUGCUGCAUUGAUCUAAUGUUUUAUUCUUUAGCUAGUACCAGAUUGUUUUCAUGAUUGUUGCAUUAUGGUACAAUUUGAGAUCUGGUACUGCCAAGACUCCUUCCUUCACAUUUUUUAUUAGUUCCCUUGAUAUUUUUGACCUUUUGUUCUUCUUUGUUAUUAUUUUUUCUAGUUUUAUAAAAUAAUUAUUUGGUAGUUUGGCACAGCAAUAAAUAAAUUAAGCAUAAUUGUAAUUUUAAAAGACAUUUCUUAAAACAUUGUGUGUAUGUCAUAAUACACCAGGUACUGGGACAAUAUUUAAAAUUUAGCACCUGCCCUCAUGAAAUGUACACACCUCACCAGGAAGUUAAAUAAAACUAUUGUCCACAGGUGGUAAAAGAUGCAAAAUGGGACCUACUGUUAUUUACUGACAACAUGGAAAGAAGAGUUUUGAAGUGACCUAUAUCAUACUAUAAUAAUCAUGCUAAAUGGGGUAAAGAAAAUACAGGACAAAUUAUUUCUUCUUCAAUGCCAAUUAUUCAAGCAAUUACAUAGUAAUUACACAAAUACAAAGGUCACACAUGGCAAAACAGUGUGCCAUCUCAACCUCUCAUUAAAGAAACAACAGAACAUAAUAGAGAAGUUGAAAUACAAAUACUAUUUAUGAUAUAAAACAUUACUUUAGAAAGUAAAAUUCCAAUAGACUUCUGGGUAAACAUGGCUGCAGUUUAGACACAGGAAUCUACCUCUCCUCAUUGCCUACCAAUAUAAAAUACCUCAAAAGGCCAAAAAAAAAAUCCUGAAUUCACUUGAAUGAAGGGACUCCACAGUAGGGCUCAGCAUUGAAGGUAGAUGGAAUUUGGGCAUUUCCACACUAUAAAGGGGUGAAAUAGCUUCCAGCAAAAUGUGAGCUGAUCUACCCUCCCUUUCCCCACCUACAGAGGCAGUGUGAUAGAUUCAGAGCCAGCUUUCAAUAGAAUCAGUGAGUGAGUGAGGGGCACCUCUAGGUUUUUGACAGCUGACUAAGACCAGAAAAGGUCUACCCCUCAGAGCAUCUGGACUUGAGACCCCAAGA